AUUAGGGUGGCAGAGCCAGGAAAUUGCGUAAGACUUAAAACCUUGUUUCCAGAGGUUCAAAUCCUCUCCCUAAUA
RNAcentral lists this transfer RNA (75 nucleotides) under Mastomys angolensis. Its description in RNAcentral is "tRNA-Leu". It matches the Rfam family "tRNA". Rfam says of the family: Transfer RNA (tRNA) molecules are approximately 80 nucleotides in length. Their secondary structure includes four short double-helical elements and three loops (D, anti-codon, and T loops). Lineage: Eukaryota; Metazoa; Chordata; Mammalia; Rodentia; Muridae. The record is from RNAcentral.